RNAcentral lists this transfer RNA (64 nucleotides) under Cleridae sp. 2 ACP-2013. Its description in RNAcentral is "tRNA-Phe". Lineage: Eukaryota; Metazoa; Arthropoda; Insecta; Coleoptera; Cleridae. The record is from RNAcentral.
UUUAAGUAGCUUAUAUAGAGUAUAAUAUUGAAGUUAUUAGGGAAAUUUAAUUAUUCUUAAAUAU